RNAcentral lists this ribosomal RNA (443 nucleotides) under uncultured bacterium. Its description in RNAcentral is "partial 16S ribosomal RNA". It matches the Rfam family "Bacterial small subunit ribosomal RNA", at positions 338 to 795 of the family's 1533-position model. The record is from RNAcentral.
CCUACGGGAGGCUGCAGUGGGGAAUAUUGGGCAAUGGGCGCAAGCCUGACCCAGCAACGCCGCGUGAAGGAAGAAGGCUUUCUGGUUGUAAACUUCUUUUCUCAGGGACGAAGAAUGUGACGGUACCUGACUCAUAAGCCACCCCUAACUACGUGCCAGCAGCCGCGCUGAUACGUAGGCGGCAAGCGUUAUCCGGAUUUAUUGGGUGUAAAGGGCGUGUAGGCGGGAGCGCAAGUCAGAUGUGAAAACUCAGGGCUCAACCCUGAGCCUGCAUUUGAAACUGGGUGUCUUGAGUGCGGGAGAGGCAAGCGGAAUUCCGGGUGUAGCGGUGAAAUGCGUAGAUAUACGGAGGAACACCAGUGGCGAAGGCGGAUUGCUGGACAGUAACUGACGCUGAGGCGCGAAAGCGUGGGGAGCAAACAGGAUUAGAUACCCCAGUAGUC